RNAcentral lists this ribosomal RNA (225 nucleotides) under uncultured bacterium. RNAcentral's name for it is "partial 16S ribosomal RNA". It matches the Rfam family "Bacterial small subunit ribosomal RNA", at positions 95 to 334 of the family's 1533-position model. The record is from RNAcentral.
UAGGCGCACGGGUGAGUAACACGUGAAUUAUCUACCCCCGAGUGGGGAAUAACUGAGAGAAAUCUUAGCUAAUACCGCAUAACACUUACGAGUCAAAGCAGCAAUGCGCUUGGAGAGGAGUUCGCGGCCGAUUAGUUAGUUGGCGGGGUAAUGGCCCACCAAGACGAUGAUCGGUAUCCGGCCUGAGAGGGCGCACGGACACACUGGAACUGAAACACGGUCCAG